GGGGAGGGGAGGCUGGAGGCGGAGAGUGUCCCGUGGUUAUCAAGCAGAGAGGAAAGAAGGGCAGCAGGAGAGAGUAUGAAGAAGCUUUCCAAAGGAUGAGUCUUUGAAAUUAAACUUCUUAGUUGACAUUCCCGCCUCCAAGGAGAGUUUGAGAAUAGAGACUCCCCUCCCGAGCAGCAUGGAGUUUCCAUGGGGCGUGGCAAGUUGCAACCCAUACUCCCGCCGCCCCCUCCGUCUGGCGGUCCCAGCUCCUGAGUUGGCUCCUCGCCCCACCCGCUCACGGUCGUCAUAAAGCCACGCCCUUCCCUCGCCCGCACAAAGCACCCGGAUGGAGUCCCUCUUCCGGGGUCUCGGUCGGCCCCCGCGAUAGGGUCUGCGCGCAGGGUCUUGCAGCGAGAAGCUGACAACUCCUUUCCAGCGCCUGGAAUGUCAGCCGCGCGCUGCGGAGAGUGUCUUCCACGGGUCCCACGUGGCUCCGUCCCCACCUCGCCACGUGCGCGGGCAGGGAGGGCGGUCCUCAGGCUCUGAGGAAGGUCACCGUUGGACGCCUUUGGAACGUGGCUGCUGUGACUUGGGAGAACGACAGUUGCACCUGCGGAUCGUCCCCCGUUUCAGAAUACGGUUUCUACUGGGAUCCCCCAGGACCUGAGAGACCUAGUGCCCUAUGUAGUUCACGGUCUUAGGAAAAUAGGAAGAGGGUACUGUGGGACGUUUGCCGAUGAAUCAAGGGCGUUGAGGCCCAUUUUUCAGAGCUCUGAUGUGCUGAUAAAGCAGUUAUAAGUCGGUAAUCAGCAAAAGUCAAUGCUCGACAGAAGUAAAGCUACACUCUUUUAUGAACUCUACUCAGUAUGAUGAAAUUUAGAAGUCCUUCGGAUUACUGCCCUUCACUUGGGAAAAUCAAAAUAGAGUACCUGCAAUACCCUUUUUUUUCACCCAUGACCCAAAAGAAUUAUUUGUGAGCUACCAUUCCAUAUAAAUUCUUGUCCAGAACUGAAAGAUGAAAUUCCUGCUACUGCUUCCCUGAUUGAUUUUCACAAUCACAUACUGAUAAUUGUAAAUCAUCACUAUUGAAGAUUUAGGGUAGUUUAUGACAUUUAGUUACCAAAAAAAGAUAUUAAAAAAAUUAACACUG
Leopardus geoffroyi (Geoffroy's cat) is the source of this 1132-nucleotide long non-coding RNA. RefSeq lists it as uncharacterized. The transcript is spliced from 2 exons. The record is from RefSeq and is a predicted model, not a curated record. NCBI's taxonomy places the organism in Eukaryota, Metazoa, Chordata, Mammalia, Carnivora, Felidae.